AGAGUUUGAUCCUGGCUCAGAUUGAACGCUGGCGGCAUGCCUAACACAUGCAAGUCGAACGGCAGCACAGCAGUAGCAAUACUGUGGGUGGCGAGUGGCGGACGGGUGAGGAAUACAUCGGGACCUGCCCAGACGUGGGGGAUAACGUAGGGAAACUUACGCUAAUACCGCAUACGUCCUACGGGAGAAAGCGGGGGAUCUUCGGACCUCGCGCGGUUGGAUGGACCGAUGUUCGAUUAGCUAGUUGGUGGGGUAAAGGCUCACCAAGGCGACGAUCGAUAGCUGGUCUGAGAGGAUGAUCAGCCACACUGGGACUGAGACACGGCCCAGACUCCUACGGGAGGCAGCAGUGGGGAAUAUUGGACAAUGGGCGCAAGCCUGAUCCAGCAAUGCCGCGUGUGUGAAGAAGGCCUUCGGGUUGUAAAGCACUUUUAUCAGGAGCGAAAUACCACGGGCUAAUACCCUGUGGGGCUGACGGUACCUGAGGAAUAAGCACCGGCUAACUUCGUGCCAGCAGCCGCGGUAAUACGAAGGGUGCAAGCGUUAAUCGGAAUUACUGGGCGUAAAGCGUGCGUAGGCGGUGAUUUAAGUCUGCUGUGAAAUCCCCGGGCUCAACCUGGGAAUGGCAGUGGAUACUGGAUCGCUAGAGUGUGAUAGAGGAUGGUGGAAUUCCCGGUGUAGCGGUGAAAUGCGUAGAGAUCGGGAGGAACAUCAGUGGCGAAGGCGGCCAUCUGGAUCAACACUGACGCUGAGGCACGAAAGCGUGGGGAGCAAACAGGAUUAGAUACCCNNGUAGUCC
This 799-nucleotide ribosomal RNA is filed under the name uncultured bacterium. Its description in RNAcentral is "bacterial SSU rRNA". It matches the Rfam family "Bacterial small subunit ribosomal RNA", at positions 8 to 796 of the family's 1533-position model. The record is from RNAcentral.